GAUGAACGCUGGCGGCGUGCCUAAUACAUGCAAGUCGAGCGAACAGAUAAGGAGCUUGCUCCUUUUACGUUAGCGGCGGACGGGUGAGUAACACGUGGGUAACCUACCUAUAAGACUGGAAUAACUCCGGGAAACCGGGGCUAAUGCAGGAUAACAUGUUGAACCGCAUGGUUCUACAGGGAAAGGCGGCUUUGCUGUCACUUAUAGAUGGACCCGCGCCGUAUUAGCUAGUUGGUGAGGUAACGGCCCACCAAGGCAACGAUACGUAGCCGACCUGAGAGGGUGAUCGGCCCCCCUGGAACUGAGACACGGUCCAGACUCCUACGGGAGGCAGCAGUAGGGAAUCUUCCGCAAGGGGCGAAAGCCUGACGGAGCAACGCCGCGUGAGUGAUGAAGGUCUUCGGAUCGUAAAACUCUGUUAUUAGGGAAGAACAAAUGCGUAAGUAACUGUGCGCGUCUUGACGGUAUCUAAUCAGAAAGCCACGGCUAACUACGUG
Molecule: ribosomal RNA, 497 nt
Filed under: uncultured bacterium
Lineage: Bacteria
Description: partial 16S ribosomal RNA
Rfam family: Bacterial small subunit ribosomal RNA
Source: RNAcentral